AUGUACCACCCGUACACUCCGUUUCCUCCGCGCCGUCCACACCCACCUGACGAUUGCUCGCUACGGUUUGUUAGCC
Molecule: small RNA, 76 nt
Filed under: Xanthomonas sp. NCPPB 1560
Lineage: Bacteria; Pseudomonadati; Pseudomonadota; Gammaproteobacteria; Lysobacterales; Lysobacteraceae
Also listed under: 5 other names
Description: sX9 sRNA
Rfam family: Xanthomonas sRNA sX9
Source: RNAcentral